AAUUAUUUUAACUCGCCUCAAUGGAAUUGAGGCCUUUGAAAAACCUGCAAUUGAAUUUGCGUCAAGGAAGGUGGCAGCCGUUUCAGGUGAUGCACGCCGUGCACUAGAAAUAUGUAGGCGAGCUGCGGAACUUGCAGAUUAUCGUGUUAAGAAAUUGCUACCAAUUCCUGAUUCUGCUGCACCAGGUAAAAUGCUUGUCAGAAUGGCAGAUGUUGAAGCAGCCAUUCAGGAAAUGUUCCAAGCUCCUCAUAUCCAAGUGAUGAGAAGCAGCUCCAAGCUGAGUAAAAUCUUCUUGGCAGCUAUGGUUUAUGAGGGUCACAAGACGGGGAUGAGCGAGACCACCUUUGACCAGUUGGCAACAACUGUUUCCUGUCUCUGUACAAGCAAUGGUGAGAAAUUUCCAGGAUGGGAUAUGCUUUUAAAAGUUGGAUGCAAGCUUGGUGAAUGCAGAAUAAUUCUAUGUGAACCUGGAGUGAAGCAUAAACUGCAAAAGUUACAGCUCAAUUUCCCAAGUGAUGAUGUUUCAUUUGCCCUUAAAGACAGCAAGGAGUUGUCGUGGUUGGCUCGGUAUUUAUAACUCAUGAAACACCCCAUGAGUAUGGCUUACAAGUCGGUGAUGUGGAUUAAGAACGAUGAAAUCUCAUGCUCAAGACGCAAAAAAGCACUAGGUGAUUUCUUUUCACUGUCCAAGCAACUUUUAUGGAUAGAGUUACACAAUACAUGUGUUAGUACGAGGUAGCAGAUAUCAGUCG
Molecule: unclassified non-coding RNA, 752 nt
Filed under: Hevea brasiliensis (rubber tree)
Lineage: Eukaryota; Viridiplantae; Streptophyta; Magnoliopsida; Malpighiales; Euphorbiaceae
Source: RNAcentral